Molecule: transfer RNA, 66 nt
Filed under: Agrilus planipennis (emerald ash borer)
Lineage: Eukaryota; Metazoa; Arthropoda; Insecta; Coleoptera; Buprestidae
Rfam family: tRNA
About the family: Transfer RNA (tRNA) molecules are approximately 80 nucleotides in length. Their secondary structure includes four short double-helical elements and three loops (D, anti-codon, and T loops). Further hydrogen bonds mediate the characteristic L-shaped molecular structure. tRNAs have two regions of fundamental functional importance: the anti-codon, which is responsible for specific mRNA codon recognition, and the 3' end, to which the tRNAs corresponding amino acid is attached (by aminoacyl-tRNA synthetases). tRNAs cope with the degeneracy of the genetic code in two manners: having more than one tRNA (with a specific anti-codon) for a particular amino acid; and 'wobble' base-pairing, i.e. permitting non-standard base-pairing at the 3rd anti-codon position.
Source: Rfam by way of RNAcentral
CUCGUAGCUUAGUGAUCAAAGCGAUAACGCAUAAAGCCAAAGGUCCCGGGUUCGACUCCCGGCGAG